UACGAAGGGGGCUAGCGUUGCUCGGAAUCACUGGGCGUAAAGCGCACGUAGGCGGCUUGUUAAGUCAGGGGUGAAAUCCUGGAGCUCAACUCCAGAACUGCCUUUGAUACUGGCGAUCUUGAGUCCGGGAGAGGUGAGUGGAACUCCGAGUGUAGAGGUGAAAUUCGUAGAUAUUCGGAAGAACACCAGUGGCGAAGGCGGCUCACUGGCCCGGUACUGACGCUGAUGUGCGAAAGCGUGGGGAGCAAACAGG
RNAcentral lists this ribosomal RNA (253 nucleotides) under uncultured bacterium. Its description in RNAcentral is "partial 16S ribosomal RNA". It matches the Rfam family "Bacterial small subunit ribosomal RNA", at positions 524 to 776 of the family's 1533-position model. The record is from RNAcentral.